CCUACGGGAGGCAGCAGUGAGGAAUAUUGGUCAAUGGCCGGAAGGCUGAACCAGCCAUGCCGCGUGAAGGUCAGUGCCCUAUGGGCGUUAAACUUCUUUUGUGCGGGAGCAAUAAUGGUCACGUGUGGCCAGACGAGAGUACCGUACGAAUAAGCAUCGGCUAACUCCGUGCCAGCAGCCGCGGUAAUUCGGGGGAUGCAAGCGUUAUCCGGAUUUAAUGGGUUUAAAGGGUGCGUAGGCUGGGAGGUAAGUCAGCGGUGAAAUGCCGCCGCUCAACGGGGUGAAGUGCCAUUGAUACUGCCUUGCUGGAGUGCGGAUGCCGUGGGAGGAAGGUGUGGUGUAGCGGUGAAAUGCAUAGAUAGCACACAGAACACCGAUUGCGAAGGCAUCUCACGAAUCCGCGAUUGACGCUGAUGCACGAAAGCGUGGGUAUCAAACAGGAUUAGAUACCCUGGUAGUC
RNAcentral lists this ribosomal RNA (460 nucleotides) under uncultured bacterium. RNAcentral's name for it is "partial 16S ribosomal RNA". It matches the Rfam family "Bacterial small subunit ribosomal RNA", at positions 338 to 795 of the family's 1533-position model. The record is from RNAcentral.